Molecule: ribosomal RNA, 440 nt
Filed under: uncultured bacterium
Lineage: Bacteria
Description: partial 16S ribosomal RNA
Rfam family: Bacterial small subunit ribosomal RNA
Source: RNAcentral
CCUACGGGAGGCAGCAGUGGGGGAUAUUGCACAAUGGGGGGAACCCUGAUGCAGCGACGCCGCGUGGGUGAAGGAGCGUUUCGGCGCGUAAAGCCCUAUCGGCAGGGUAGAAGAUGACGGUACCUGGCCAAGAAGCCCCGGCUAACUACGUGCCAGCAGCCGCGGUAAAACGUCGGGGGCAAGCGUUAUCCGGAUUUACUGGGUGUAAAGGGGGCGCAGAUGGGAAUGCAAGCUAGGAGUGAAAGCUCGGGGCCCAACCCCGGGACUGCUCUUGACACUGCAUGGCUGGAGUACAGGAGGGGCAGGCGGAAUUCCUGGUGUAGCGGUGAAAUGCGUAGAUAUUAGGAGGAACACCGGUGGCGAAGGCAGCCUGCUGGACUGUGACUGACGUUGAGGCCCGAAGGCGUGGGGAGCAAACAGGAUUAGAUACCCGUGUAGUC